AGAGUUUGAUCCUGGCUCAGAGCGAACGCUGGCGGCAGGCCUAACACAUGCAAGUCGAACGAACUCUUCGGAGUUAGUGGCGGACGGGUGAGUAACACGUGGGAACGUGCCUUUAGGUUCGGAAUAACUCAGGGAAACUUGUGCUAAUACCGAAUGUGCCCUUCGGGGGAAAGAUUUAUCGCCUUUAGAGCGGCCCGCGUCUGAUUAGCUUGUUGGUGGGGUAAUGGCCCACCAAGGCUACGAUCAGUAGCUGGUCUGAGAGGAUGACCAGCCACAUUGGGACUGAGACACGGCCCAAACUCCUACGGGAGGCAGCAGUGGGGAAUCUUGCGCAAUGGGCGAAAGCCUGACGCAGCCAUGCCGCGUGUAUGAUGAAGGUCUUAGGAUUGUAAAAUACUUUCACCGGUGAAGAUAAUGACUGUAGCCGAGAGAG
RNAcentral lists this ribosomal RNA (433 nucleotides) under uncultured bacterium. RNAcentral's name for it is "bacterial SSU rRNA". It matches the Rfam family "Bacterial small subunit ribosomal RNA", at positions 8 to 487 of the family's 1533-position model. The record is from RNAcentral.